Molecule: transfer RNA, 72 nt
Filed under: Echinostoma caproni
Lineage: Eukaryota; Metazoa; Platyhelminthes; Trematoda; Plagiorchiida; Echinostomatidae
Rfam family: tRNA
About the family: Transfer RNA (tRNA) molecules are approximately 80 nucleotides in length. Their secondary structure includes four short double-helical elements and three loops (D, anti-codon, and T loops).
Source: Rfam by way of RNAcentral
GGUGGUGGCCUAGUGGUAAGGUCACCAAAUGAUCACCCCCUGGGGAUGUGGGUUCGAAUCCCACCACCACCG